RNAcentral lists this ribosomal RNA (253 nucleotides) under uncultured bacterium. RNAcentral describes it as "partial 16S ribosomal RNA". It matches the Rfam family "Bacterial small subunit ribosomal RNA", at positions 524 to 776 of the family's 1533-position model. The record is from RNAcentral.
UACGAGGGGGGCAAGCGUUGUUCGGAAUUAUUGGGCGUAAAGGGCGCGUAGGCGGUGCGGUAAGUCACCUGUGAAAACUCUGGGCUCAACUCAGAGCCUGCAGGCGAAACUGCCGUGCUUGAGUGUGGGAGAGGUGCGUGGAAUUCCCGGUGUAGUGGUGAAAUGCGUAGAUAUCGGGAGGAAUACCAGUGGCGAAGGCGGCUUCCUGGCCUGUUCUUGACGCUGAGGCGCGAAAGCUAGGGUAGCAAACGGG